This 497-nucleotide ribosomal RNA is filed under the name uncultured bacterium. RNAcentral describes it as "partial 16S ribosomal RNA". It matches the Rfam family "Bacterial small subunit ribosomal RNA", at positions 28 to 507 of the family's 1533-position model. The record is from RNAcentral.
GAUGAACGCUGGCGGCGUGCCUAAUACAUGCAAGUCGAGCGAACGGACGAGAAGCUUGCUUCUCUGAUGUUAGCGGCGGACGGGCGUGUAACACGUGGAUAACCUCCCUAUCAGACUGGGAUCACUUCGGGAAACCGUAUCUCAUUCCGUAUAACAUUUUGAACCGCAUAGUUCAACAGUGAAAGACGGUCUUGCUGUCACUUAUAGAUGGAUCCGAGCUGCAUUAGCUAGUUUGUAAGGUAACGGCUUACCACGCCAACGGUGCAUAGCCAAGCCGAGAGGGUGACCAGCCACAUGGGAACGGAGAAUCGCAUCCGUCCACUACUGGAGAGAGCAGUAGGGACGCGUCCUCAUUGGGCGAAAGUCUAACAGAGCAACACCGCGUGAGUGAUGAAGGUCUUCGGAUCGUAAAACUCAGUUAUUAGGGAAGAACAUAUGAGUAAGUAACUCUGCACACCUUGAGGGUAACUGAGCAGAAAGCCACGGCUAACUACGUG